This 66-nucleotide transfer RNA is filed under the name Chaoborus sp. ZK-2019. RNAcentral's name for it is "tRNA-Leu". The record is from RNAcentral. Lineage: Eukaryota; Metazoa; Arthropoda; Insecta; Diptera; Chaoboridae.
UCUAAAAUGGCAGAUUAGUGCCUUGAAUUUAAGCUUCAAUUAUAAAGAAUUUCUCUUUUUUUAGAA